Molecule: long non-coding RNA, 386 nt
Filed under: Lathyrus oleraceus (garden pea)
Lineage: Eukaryota; Viridiplantae; Streptophyta; Magnoliopsida; Fabales; Fabaceae
Description: Pisum sativum (pea) long non-coding RNA (PSAT_LNC010104)
Source: RNAcentral
AUCUCAAUGCUAAUGCAUAUGAUGAAAUUGCAUGAGGGAUCUUAGGGUCAAAAUUGGGGUCUUACAGUGAUCCAACGCUCCGUGUUUUUUCUGAUUUUAAUUAUUUUUCUUUUAUUAUUUUUAAUUUUUUUUCUUUUAAAAUUCAUAGUAAUUUCAUUUUUCAUCCAAAAAAUCCCAAAAUAAUUUCUAACAUUUUUUUUAUUUUUCUCAUCUGAUUUUUACUUUUUCACAUUUUAUUUCUCUAAUUUUCUAAUUUUCGUGAAUUUUAUCUUUUCUCCUUUGUUUUAAUUGGUUUAAUACUUUUCUAUAUUUUAAAAUUCUAAAAAAAAUAUUACAUGCUUCUUAUUUUAUUUCCAACCUUCCAUAAUUUUCUUGGCCAUUUAUUU